This 154-nucleotide small RNA is filed under the name Muricomes intestini. RNAcentral describes it as "Clostridiales-1 RNA". It matches the Rfam family "Clostridiales-1 RNA". The record is from RNAcentral. Lineage: Bacteria; Bacillati; Bacillota; Clostridia; Lachnospirales; Lachnospiraceae.
UGAUACCAGGGUCAAAAGGUUAUGCGUUUCAUGCUUGCAUGAAAAAGCAUGACUUUGGGACCCGCAAAACAUGAGAAAGUAGCCCGAGCAGGGCGGAUUUCGAAUGUUUUUAGGAUUGCGGGAGCACAAAGUGCGGAGCAAUCCGUAGGUAUCA